Molecule: transfer RNA, 82 nt
Filed under: Saccoglossus kowalevskii
Lineage: Eukaryota; Metazoa; Hemichordata; Enteropneusta; Harrimaniidae
Description: tRNA-Leu
Rfam family: tRNA
About the family: Transfer RNA (tRNA) molecules are approximately 80 nucleotides in length. Their secondary structure includes four short double-helical elements and three loops (D, anti-codon, and T loops). Further hydrogen bonds mediate the characteristic L-shaped molecular structure. tRNAs have two regions of fundamental functional importance: the anti-codon, which is responsible for specific mRNA codon recognition, and the 3' end, to which the tRNAs corresponding amino acid is attached (by aminoacyl-tRNA synthetases). tRNAs cope with the degeneracy of the genetic code in two manners: having more than one tRNA (with a specific anti-codon) for a particular amino acid; and 'wobble' base-pairing, i.e. permitting non-standard base-pairing at the 3rd anti-codon position.
Source: RNAcentral
GGUAGUGUGGCCGAGCGGUCUAAGGCGCUGGUUUUAGGCACCAGUCAUUUCGGUGGCGUGGGUUCAAAUCCCACCUCUGCCA